GUCCUAACUUCCCAAAGGAAGAUGUGCUGAAGCCUCAGACAUUGUAGUCAGCCCAUGUGAUUAAUAUAAUUGCGUCUUCUUUGUGAAUAACUUCUAUAGAUGCGAGGCAGACUUUGAAGCAAGUCAGUUGACACCCACACAGAACCAAAUUAUAACAUCCUGAUUAAAUUGCUAUGCACUGUAAAUGCUCAAGUAUUGUCAAUACAAAGAAAGUUUGUUCUCAACAACUCUUAAAGUGUUGAAAUUCACUUGAAUUUUGCUGGAUUAAAAAGUUAACUUGCACAGUUAGGUUAUUUGCAUAUAAAAUGAGCAAAGACUAUCACGAUCAUUAAAAACAUAAAAUACAUGAAAGAAUAAUGUUAAAUGUAUUUUAGGAAUACCUGUCAAAUUCUGUUCACAUCCCACGUAUUUUACUUAACUUUUUUUAGUUAGUGAUCAAAUGGUGACUUUUGGUACACUGCCUUUUCUUGAAAAUAAAAUAAAAUAAUUCUCUGGUUUGUGUCAAACAGAUUGAAACGUAUUGUUCUUGAAUUGCAUCAUAUGAAACAUUUUCUCAGCAGGGUCUGAGAAGGCGUGCUUCUGAAAAUUUAUAUCCUUUUUGUGAUCAUAGAGCAGUGGUAGAUGCCAGAUCUCUGGAAGCAUUCAAGGUCAGGUUGAAUGUCUGAGCAAUCUGAUCUAGUUGAAAAUGUCUUUGCUCAUUGCAGAGGGGUGCAACUGGAUGGCCUUUGAAGGUCUCUUCCACUGCAAACUCCUCUGAUUCUCUAGUAAUAACUGGUCAUUUAAAUGCAAUGUUUGUACACUAUGUGAACGUAGGAGUAGAAAUUAUAGUACUGCAACAAAAAUUAAGAUAGGUACCUCUUUAGAUGUGGGACUUAUUUUUAAAGUUUGUUCCUGCUGUCUAUAGUGCUUUUGAUGAUUUUGAUUAAUUUUGUGUGCUGCACAAGCAUCUCUUUAGAUGCCUCAUACUGACCUUCAGAAUGUUCAGAUUGGAUGUUUGGGAUUUAGUACUUGUUUGGAUGCCUGUCUUCCUAAAUAACUUGCACACAAUUUUCUGCAGGAGCAUCAUAUUGUCAACGUUCACAAGGAAGAAUGCCACAUCAUCACUUAUUAGCCUGUUGGAAUCAUCAAAAUGCUCAUCUUUAGAAUUGCCUCAAAGGGCCUGUCUCUAAGCUGGAGUUACAUCAGUAACUAUAUUGCUGUUUGCUUCUCUCAUUCUCAGAACUGUGGUUUGCAGGACAGAAAUGUUAUGAUUAAACACCUCUGAUGAAG
RNAcentral lists this long non-coding RNA (1269 nucleotides) under Zonotrichia albicollis (white-throated sparrow). RNAcentral's name for it is "lncRNA (ENSZALG00000004532.1)". Lineage: Eukaryota; Metazoa; Chordata; Aves; Passeriformes; Passerellidae. The record is from RNAcentral.